GGGCCUGUAGCUCAGUGGUGAGAGCAUGGGACUCAUAAUCCCUUGGUCGUGGGUUCGAACCCCACCGGGCCCACCA
This 76-nucleotide transfer RNA is filed under the name Actinomycetota bacterium. RNAcentral describes it as "tRNA-Ile". It matches the Rfam family "tRNA". Rfam says of the family: Transfer RNA (tRNA) molecules are approximately 80 nucleotides in length. Their secondary structure includes four short double-helical elements and three loops (D, anti-codon, and T loops). Further hydrogen bonds mediate the characteristic L-shaped molecular structure. tRNAs have two regions of fundamental functional importance: the anti-codon, which is responsible for specific mRNA codon recognition, and the 3' end, to which the tRNAs corresponding amino acid is attached (by aminoacyl-tRNA synthetases). tRNAs cope with the degeneracy of the genetic code in two manners: having more than one tRNA (with a specific anti-codon) for a particular amino acid; and 'wobble' base-pairing, i.e. permitting non-standard base-pairing at the 3rd anti-codon position. The record is from RNAcentral. Lineage: Bacteria; Bacillati; Actinomycetota.